RNAcentral lists this ribosomal RNA (1761 nucleotides) under Salmonella enterica. Its description in RNAcentral is "partial 23S ribosomal RNA". It matches the Rfam family "Bacterial large subunit ribosomal RNA", at positions 105 to 1891 of the family's 2925-position model. Lineage: Bacteria; Pseudomonadati; Pseudomonadota; Gammaproteobacteria; Enterobacterales; Enterobacteriaceae. The record is from RNAcentral.
CAGAGAUGUCCGAAUGGGGGAACCCACUAGCUAAUGGCUAGUACUCCUAUCUGUUAAGGAUAGGUAGAGGAAGACGCAGUGAACUGAAACAUCUAAGUAGCUGCAGGAAGAGAAAGCAAAAGCGAUUGCCUGAGUAGCGGCGAGCGAAACGGCAGGAGGGCAAACCGAAGAGUUUACUCUUCGGGGUUGUAGGACUGCAAUGUGGACUUAAAGAAUAUAGAAGAAUGACAUGGGAAGGUCAGCCAAAGAGAGUAAGAGCCUCGUAUUCGAAAUAGUCUUUAUACCUAGCAGUAUCCUGAGUACGGCGGGACACGAGAAAUCCCGUCGGAAUCUGGGAGGACCAUCUCCCAACCCUAAAUACUCUCUAGUGACCGAUAGUGAACCAGUACCGUGAGGGAAAGGUGAAAAGCACCCCGGGAGGGGAGUGAAAUAGAACCUGAAACCGUGUGCCUACAACAAGUUCGAGCCCGUUAAUGGGUGAGAGCGUGCCUUUUGUAGAAUGAACCGGCGAGUUACGAUAUGAUGCGAGGUUAAGUUGAAGAGACGGAGCCGUAGGGAAACCGAGUCUGAAUAGGGCGUCUUAGUAUUAUGUCGUAGACCCGAAACCAUGUGACCUACCCAUGAGCAGGUUGAAGGUGAGGUAAAACUCACUGGAGGACCGAACCAGGGCACGUUGAAAAGUGCUUGGAUGACUUGUGGGUAGCGGAGAAAUUCCAAACGAACUUGGAGAUAGCUGGUUCUCUCCGAAAUAGCUUUAGGGCUAGCGUCGACAUUAAGAUUCUUGGAGGUAGAGCACUGUUUGGGUGAGGGGUCCAUCCCGGAUUACCAAUCUCAGAUAAACUCCGAAUGCCAAUGAAUUAUGGUCGGCAGUCAGACUGCGAGUGCUAAGAUCCGUAGUCGAAAGGGAAACAGCCCAGACCACCAGCUAAGGUCCCAAAAUAAUUGUUAAGUGGAAAAGGAUGUGGGGUUGCACAGACAACUAGGAUGUUAGCUUAGAAGCAGCUAUUCAUUCAAAGAGUGCGUAAUAGCUCACUAGUCGAGUGACCCUGCGCCGAAAAUGUACCGGGGCUAAAACAAUUUACCGAAGCUGUGGAUACCUUUAUAGGUAUGGUAGGAGAGCGUUCUAUGUGUGGAGAAGGUGUACCGUGAGGAGCGCUGGAACGCAUAGAAGUGAGAAUGCCGGUAUGAGUAGCGAAAGACAGGUGAGAAUCCUGUCCACCGUAAGACUAAGGUUUCCAGGGGAAGGCUCGUCCGCCCUGGGUUAGUCGGGACCUAAGGAGAGACCGAAAGGUGUAUCCGAUGGACAACAGGUUGAUAUUCCUGUACUAGAGUAUGUAGUGAAGGAGGGACGCAGUAGGCUAACUAAAGCGUGCGACUGGAAGUGCACGUCUAAGCAGUGAGGUGUGAAUUGAGUUAAAUGCUUAAUUCUAUAACAUUGAGCUGUGAUGGGGAGCGAAGUUUAGUAGCGAAGUUAGUGACGUCACACUGCCAAGAAAAGCUUCUAGCGUUAAUCAUACUCUACCCGUACCGCAAACCGACACAGGUAGUCGAGGCGAGUAGCCUCAGGUGAGCGAGAGAACUCUCGUUAAGGAACUCGGCAAAAUGACCCCGUAACUUCGGGAGAAGGGGUGCUGGCUUUCAGUCAGCCGCAGUGAAUAGGCCCAAGCAACUGUUUAUCAAAAACACAGCUCUCUGCUAAAUCGUAAGAUGAUGUAUAGGGGGUGACGCCUGCCCGGUGCUGGAAGGUUAAGAGGAGUGCUU